CCCUUAGAUGUUCUGGGCCGCACGCGCGCUACACUGUUCGACGCAGCGAGUCUUAACCUUGACCGAAAGGUUUGGGUAAUCUUCAGCAAAGUCGAACGUGAUGGGGAUCGAUCAUUGCAAUUAUUGAUCGUGAACGAGGAAUUCCUAGUAAGUGCAAGUCAUCAGCUUGCGCUGAUUACGUCCCUGCCCUUUGUACACACCGCCCGUCGCUACUACCGAUUGAAUGGUUUAGUGAGAUCUCUGGAUUGACGCUGGCUAGGGGGCGACACUUGGCCAGACUGUUGAGAAACUGCUCAAACUUGAUCAUUUAGAGGAAGUAAAAGUCGUAACA
RNAcentral lists this ribosomal RNA (331 nucleotides) under uncultured eukaryote. Its description in RNAcentral is "partial 18S ribosomal RNA". It matches the Rfam family "Eukaryotic small subunit ribosomal RNA", at positions 1470 to 1796 of the family's 1831-position model. The record is from RNAcentral.